Molecule: unclassified non-coding RNA, 338 nt
Filed under: soil metagenome
Description: partial contains 5.8S ribosomal RNA, internal transcribed spacer 2, and large subunit ribosomal RNA
Rfam family: 5.8S ribosomal RNA (bases 1-120)
Source: RNAcentral
GAUGAAGAACGUAGCGAAAUGCGAUACGUAAUGUGAAUUGCAGAAUUCAGUGAAUCAUCGAAUCUUUGAACGCACAUUGCGCCCGGUAGUAUUCUGCCGGGCAUGCCUGUUCGAGCGUCAUUUCAACCAUCAAGCCCCAGCGCUUGUGUUGGGGGCCUGCGGCUGCCGCAGCCCCCCAAAAGCAGUGGCGGGCUCGCUAUCACACCGAGUGCAGUAGUUCAUCUUCUCUCCGGUCUUGUGAGGCGGGUUCCGGCCGUGAAACACCCCACUACAUUCAAGGUUGACCUCGGAUCAGGUAGGAAUACCCGCUGAACUUAAGCAUAUCAAUAAGCGGAGGA